This is a long non-coding RNA of Clarias gariepinus (North African catfish), 268 nucleotides long. RefSeq lists it as uncharacterized. The transcript has 3 exons. Lineage: Eukaryota; Metazoa; Chordata; Actinopteri; Siluriformes; Clariidae. The record is from RefSeq and is a predicted model, not a curated record.
CGAGCAGCAGGGUGUCCGAUCAGGAAGUGCUCACUCAGGUGGAGGACAUGGCCAGGAAGCUGCUGGAGGAGGAAGACGUAGCCGUGCUCGUGGAGAUCUGUACGCGGUAUACAGUGGAGCGAGAGUUGAAGUCGCUAGUGCUCCCCCUGCUGGCUAUUCUUGAUGGACCGGAGAAGCUUCUAUUACUGAGGGAGAUCAGAAUGCUUGUCCCUAAAGAGGAUCUUCAGCAGUUUAACAGCAUGGUGAAACCCUUUGAGGAGGAAGCGUA